GGCGACCGGCGCACGGGUGCGUAACGCGUAUAGAAUCUACCUUGUACUGGAGAAUAGCCCAGAGAAAUUUGGAUUAAUGCUCCAUAGUAUAUUAGUUUGGCAUCAAGCAAAUAUUAAAGGUUACGGUAUAAGAUGACUAUGCGUCCUAUUAGCUAGAUGGUGUGGUAACGGCAUACCAUGGCAACGAUAGGUAGGGGCCCUGAGAGGGGGAUCCCCCACACUGGUACUGAGACACGGACCAGACUCCUACGGGAGGCAGCAGUGAGGAAUAUUGGACAAUGGGGGCAACCCUGAUCCAGCCAUGCCGCGUGCAGGAAGACUGCCCUAUGGGUUGUAAACUGCUUUUAUACGGGAAGAAACCGCUCUACGUGUAGAGUUUUGACGGUACCGUAAGAAUAAGGAUCGGCUAACUCCGUGCCAGCAGCCGCGGUAAUACGGAGGAUCCAAGCGUUAUCCGGAAUCAUUGGGUUUAAAGGGUCCGUAGGUGGAUGAUUAAGUCAGAGGUGAAAGUUUGCGGCUCAACCGUAAAAUUGCCUUUGAUACUGGUUAUCUUGAAUUAUUGUGAAGUAGUUAGAAUAUGUAGUGUAGCGGUGAAAUGCAUAGAUAUUACAUAGAAUACCAAUUGCGAAGGCAGAUUACUAACAAUAUAUUGACACUGAUGGACGAAAGCGUGGGGAGCGAACAGGAUUAGAUACCCUGGUAGUCCACGCCGUAAACGAUGGAUACUAGCUGUUCGGUUUUUAACUGAGUGGCUAAGCGAAAGUGAUAAGUAUCCCACCUGGGGGAGUACGUUCGCAAGAAUGAAACUCAAAGGAAUUGACGGGGG
This 826-nucleotide ribosomal RNA is filed under the name Cognatitamlana onchidii. RNAcentral describes it as "bacterial SSU rRNA". It matches the Rfam family "Bacterial small subunit ribosomal RNA", at positions 90 to 919 of the family's 1533-position model. Lineage: Bacteria; Pseudomonadati; Bacteroidota; Flavobacteriia; Flavobacteriales; Flavobacteriaceae. The record is from RNAcentral.